RNAcentral lists this long non-coding RNA (520 nucleotides) under Selaginella moellendorffii. RNAcentral describes it as "long non-coding RNA (SMOE_LNC001103)". The record is from RNAcentral. Lineage: Eukaryota; Viridiplantae; Streptophyta; Lycopodiopsida; Selaginellales; Selaginellaceae.
UCUGAGCUCCACGACCUCCACUGGGCUGGUAAGAGGAAGAGAUCUUUUCUCGGCUGGGAUUCAAGGAGAGAGGUUCUUAACUGUGGCUUUGUAGACUUUCUCCUCUUUCGGCGUCAAGAAGGGGGACGUCUUCGAUGGAGAUUUCACCACCACUUACGUCUGCAAGAACGUCACGGUGGAUGUGAAAGUGGACACGCAAUCGAAGGUGAAGAAGCUCUUACCUCGUGAGAUGUCAAGAUGUUUCCUUUUUCUUGUAGAUCUUCUCCACUGUCAAGGUCGAUGAUCUCGCUCCGGGGACCAGGGCGAUCUUCAACUUCAGUCUUCCGGAUCAGAAAUCUGGAAAGGCAAGCAGAGCAAAGAAUGGAAAACUUGAUCUCUCUCUCUCUCUCUAUCUCACCUCUUCCUUUUUCGCAGAUGGAGCUCCAGUACUGCCACCAGUAUGCCGGAGUUACUGGCAGCGUUGGGCUAGCUUCGUCUCCCGUGGUGGAAUGCACCAGUGCCUUUGGUAGCAACGACGUCG